Molecule: long non-coding RNA, 1976 nt
Organism: Cucumis sativus (cucumber)
Lineage: Eukaryota; Viridiplantae; Streptophyta; Magnoliopsida; Cucurbitales; Cucurbitaceae
Exons: 4
Source: RefSeq, a predicted model, not a curated record
CAAAACAAUCAUUCUCUUUCUUCUUUUCCAUCUUCUCUUUCCUCGUUAAAUUCUUCAUUUCCUUCUUUUCACACCCAAACAAUUCAGGGCAUCUCUCUUUCUCUUCUCACAACCGUCUCUCUUCCUCUUCUCACAGCCGAAAAAUUUAAAGCUUCUAUCUUCCUCUUCUCACAGUCAAACAGUUUAAGGUUUCUCUCUUCCUCUUCUCACAACCGAACAAUUAACUCUUCUAUCUUCCUCUUCUCACAGCCAAACAAUUAACCUUUCUCUCUUCCUCUUCUCACAGCCGAAGGAAUUUCUCUCUUCCUCUUCGGCGCUCACUGAUUUUUCUCCAUCGUUCAAUACCAUCUUCUUCACGGUAUUUUGAUGCACGUUGAUUUUAUAAACCUCACAUUUUUUUUCUUUGUUGUUCUUCGGUCUCCGAUGUCCCUGUGGAUGUGGAUGUCGUUGACAAGCCACGUUUAGAAAUAAACGAUGGCCUCCGAUGCCUUAUCUUCGACUGGGCGUUCGUUGACUAGGUGGCUGCUUCCUUGCAUGGCUUGUCCUACGAACUUGCCGCUCGGAUGUCAUUCAUCAUAUUUUUCUUGUCGCUCGGUUAACCUCUGUGACCGCGACGAUCUUUCAUCCUCUGAUGAGUGACAGAUACUAACCGAGGGUUGUGGCUGUGGUGGUUCCAAGCAAGUUAGGGUCGAGUGUGUUUUAUGCAUUUUUUCAUCCAUGAUUUCAUUUCGUAUGUUGCAUUUCAUUUUAUCUAUGCCCUUCAUAUCAAUGCAUUUGAUAUGGAUGCAAUGCCCUUCAUAUCCCCACAUCUAAUAAGGUCUCGUUGCAUUAGUCCAUCCACGAUAAAUUUAUUUGUCAUUUGAAGUUCGAUUUCAUUUAACUGAACGAACUUUCGUUCUUUGAGGCAGAGUUUAACAUUGUUUUAGAUUUUGUAUACUUGUUCCCAUUUACUUGUUAACUUUUUUAUUUGGCCACUUUUGUUACGCGUCGUUAGAUACGAACUAUAAGGUACGCUCUUGCACCAUUAUCUAUAUUUUUAUUUAGAGACAUAUAUUCUAAUACAUUGUGUCCUUAUGUAAGUUUCAUCACUGCCUUAUGCAGUGCAGUCAAGUGUACGUAGACUACAAUUUCGAGGUACUAGGAAAACAUCGACAUUCUGCUAAAGGUGACCCUUAGAGUACCUUUCAAUGAAUCCCACAGAACUGGCAAAUGUUUUGAACGCCUUUCUACUUGUCCAACAUCAAAUGAUAAUGACGUUUGACACAUUCUUCAAUGAUAUGAGAAGGAUUCCCCAAGUACCGUGUGACACAAGGCAUAAGAUUAGACAGAUUGCGUAUUUUCGUAUGAUACACAAGUCUGACCUUGUAUGUCAGCAAAGUACGCGCAUGGAUAGACGUUGUUUCGCAAUUCUCUGUCAUCUCCUACAGACAACGACCGUACUAGAAUCCACUGACGCUGUCGAUGUCGAAGAGAUAGUCACUAUCUUCCUACACGUGCUUUCACAUGAUGUUAAGAACCGCGAGGUACAACGAGACUUUGUACGAUCUAGCGAGACUGCAUCAAGGCAUUUUAACAUAGUCCUUAUGGUCGUACUGCGUCUGUCUGACGAGUUAUUGGCGAAAUCACAGCUUGUUCCAAGCGACUGCACAAAUCCCAAGUGGCAGUGUUUCGAGAAUUUCCUUGGUGUCCUUGACGACACAUACAUAAAAGUGAACGUGUUCGCAAGUGAUCGACCUAGAUAUCGAACACGGAAGAGUGAAGUGACGACGAAUGUUCUUGGCGUACGUGAUACAAAAGGGAACUUCGUUUUCUUCUUAUCAGGCUGGAAAGGUUGAGCAGUUGACUCUCGUAUCCUACGUGAUGCCAUUUCAAGACCCAACGAACUAAGGGUUCCUAAGGGUAACAACUAGUGUUUCAAAACUUAAAAAUUACUAUUUCUUUCUACUACCGAUAAUUUUAGUAUAAGAAAACAACAA